CCUACGGGAGGCAGCAGUAGGGAAUAUUGCUCAAUGGGGGAAACCCUGAAGCAGCAACGCAGCGUGGAGGAUGAAGGUUUUCGGAUUGUAAACUCCUUUUGUUAGAGAAGAUAAUGACGGUAUCUAACGAAUAAGCACCGGCUAACUCCGUGCCAGCAGCAGCGGUAAUACGGAGGGUGCAAGCGUUACUCGGAUUCACUGGGCGUAAAGAGCGCGUAGGCGGGAUAGCAAGUCAGAUGUGAAAUCCUAUGGCUUAACCAUAGAACUGCAUUUGAAACUGUUAUUCUAGAGUAUGGGAGAGGUAGGUGGAAUUCUUGGUGUAGCGGUAAAAUGCGUAGAGAUCAAGAGGAAUACUCAUUGCGAAGGCGACCUGCUAGAACGUAACUGACGCUGAUGCGCGAAAGCGUGGGGAGCAAACAGGAUUAGAUACCCGGGUAGUC
Molecule: ribosomal RNA, 440 nt
Filed under: uncultured bacterium
Lineage: Bacteria
Description: partial 16S ribosomal RNA
Rfam family: Bacterial small subunit ribosomal RNA
Source: RNAcentral